RNAcentral lists this long non-coding RNA (242 nucleotides) under Lathyrus oleraceus (garden pea). RNAcentral describes it as "Pisum sativum (pea) long non-coding RNA (PSAT_LNC010876)". Lineage: Eukaryota; Viridiplantae; Streptophyta; Magnoliopsida; Fabales; Fabaceae. The record is from RNAcentral.
AAUACUCCCCUUUUUUAGCCAUAAUAUGACAAAGUUAAGCAUCUAACCAAAACAAAUAAACUAAAUUCUAAAGUUAAGUAGCACAAACAGAAAUACACACAAGGGUGCUUGAAAUCCUGGUCAGAGACCACAAAACAAAACAAACAAAAAAAAACAAUACUACUAUCAGAUAUCUUCUUGCCUAUUUGAGUUUAUAGUAGCACACUCCUCUCCUUCAGCUUCUUUAUCUUCAUCAUUCUCGG